GUUUUAUUUGGAGCAUGCCAAAGAAAGAGGCUGGAUGUUACCAUCCUUUGGGUUACCUGAUGCAUCUUAAUGAGAAGAAUCAGAUGCAUUAGCUUGUUGCAUCUCUGCAUGUUCGUUGUUUCCUUCUCCUGGUCCGUUUUAUUUGGGAGUGGUAGAUGGACACGGACUACCCAGUCAUCCCUAGUUCUUCUUUCUUUUUGAGUUUCUUGUAUGAUGGAUAUUUCUUGAUGUAAAAAUGAGAAGUCUUGCGUUGGUGGUAUAUGCAUAACGCAUUACCAUUGCUACCUUCCAUAUGGAUGUUAG
RNAcentral lists this unclassified non-coding RNA (303 nucleotides) under Hevea brasiliensis (rubber tree). Lineage: Eukaryota; Viridiplantae; Streptophyta; Magnoliopsida; Malpighiales; Euphorbiaceae. The record is from RNAcentral.